CGGGACGGGUGAGUAACGCGUGAGGAACCUGCCUCAGAGAGGGGGAUAACACACCGAAAGGUGUGCUAAUACCGCAUAACAUAUGAGAGGGGCAUCCCUUUCAUAUCAAAGAUUUAUUGCUCUGAGAUGGCCUCGCGUCCAAUUAGCUAGUUGGUGAGGUAACGGCCCACCAAGGCGACGAUUGGUAGCCGGACUGAGAGGUUGAACGGCCACAUUGGGACUGAGACACGGCCCAGACUCCUACGGGAGGCAGCAG
This 256-nucleotide ribosomal RNA is filed under the name uncultured bacterium. RNAcentral describes it as "partial 16S ribosomal RNA". It matches the Rfam family "Bacterial small subunit ribosomal RNA", at positions 98 to 354 of the family's 1533-position model. The record is from RNAcentral.